UUUUAAUUGAAGGCUUGUAUGAAGGGUUGGACAAAGGAUAAGCUGUCUUUUUUCUUGUUUUUGAAUUUGUCUUUUAAGUGAAAAGACUUAAAUUAUUUUAAGGGACGAUAAGACCCUAUAAAUCUUUAUAUUAAUAUGUUUUUAUUUUAAUUUUUAAUGUUUAUAGAGAUAAAAAUAUAGAAUAUUAUAUUGGGGUGAUAAGAAUAAUUAAUAAACUGUUCUAAAUAAAAACAAAGUUGUUUGGAGAAAUAAUAGAUCCUUUUUAGAGAUUAAAAGUUUAAGUUACUUUAGGGAUAACAGCGUUAUUUUUCUUGAGAGUUCUAAUCGAAAGAAAAGUUUGCGACCUCGAUGUUGAAUUAAAAUUUCUCUAUGGUGCAGCCGUUAUAGAAGAAAGUCUGUUCGACUUUUAAAAUUUUACGUGAUCU
Molecule: ribosomal RNA, 425 nt
Filed under: Galathea peitho
Lineage: Eukaryota; Metazoa; Arthropoda; Malacostraca; Decapoda; Galatheidae
Description: partial 16S ribosomal RNA
Rfam family: Bacterial large subunit ribosomal RNA (bases 293-425)
Source: RNAcentral